RNAcentral lists this ribosomal RNA (1005 nucleotides) under Phyllachora heterocladae. Its description in RNAcentral is "SSU rRNA". It matches the Rfam family "Eukaryotic small subunit ribosomal RNA", at positions 88 to 1103 of the family's 1831-position model. Lineage: Eukaryota; Fungi; Ascomycota; Sordariomycetes; Phyllachorales; Phyllachoraceae. The record is from RNAcentral.
UGCGAAUGGCUCAUUAAAUCAGUUAUCGUUUAUUUGAUAGCACCUUACUACUUGGAUAACCGUGGUAAUUCUAGAGCUAAUACAUGCUAAAAACCCCGACUCACGGAGGGGUGUAUUUAUUAGAUUAAAAACCAAUGCCCUUCUGGGCUUCCUGGUGAUCCAUAAUAACUUCUCGGAUCGCACGGCCUUGCGCCGGCGAUGGUUCAUUCAAAUUUCUGCCCUAUCAACUUUCGAUGGCUGGGUCUUGGCCAGCCAUGGUGACAACGGGUAACGGAGGGUUAGGGCUCGACCCCGGAGAGGGGGCCUGAGAGAUGGCCACCACAUCCAAGGAAGGCAGCAGGCGCGCAAAUUACCCAAUGAUGACACAUCGAGGUAGUGACAAUACAUACUGAUACAGGGCUCUUUUGGGUCUUGUAAUUGGAAUGAGUACAAUUUAAAUCCCUUAACGAGGAACAAUUGGAGGGCAAGUCUGGUGCCAGCAGCCGCGGUAAUUCCAGCUCCAAUAGCGUAUAUUAAUGUUGUUGAGGUUAAAAAGCUCGUAGUUGAACCUUGGGCCUGGCUGGCCGGUCCGCCUCACCGCGUGCACUGGUCCGGCCGGGUCUUUCCCUCUGGGGAGCCGCAUGCCCUUUACUGGGUGUGUCGGGGAACCAGGACUUUUACUCUGAACAAAUCAGAUCGCUUCAAGAAGGCCUAUGCUCGAAUGUUCUAGCAUGGAAUAAUAGAAUAGGACGUGUGGUUCUAUUUUGUUGGUUUCUAGGACCGCCGUAAUGAUUAAUAGGGACAGUCGGGGGCAUCAGUAUUCAAUUGUCAGAGGUGAAAUUCUUGGAUUUAUUGAAGACUAACUACUGCGAAAGCAUUUGCCAAGGAUGUUUUCAUUAAUCAGGAACGAAAGUUAGGGGAUCGAAGACGAUCAGAUACCGUCGUAGUCUUAACCAUAAACUAUGCCGAUUAGGGAUCGGACGGUGUUAUUCUUUGACCCGUUCGGCACCUUACGAAAAAUCAAAA